Molecule: ribosomal RNA, 346 nt
Filed under: uncultured bacterium
Lineage: Bacteria
Description: partial 16S ribosomal RNA
Rfam family: Bacterial small subunit ribosomal RNA
Source: RNAcentral
CCUACGGGAGGCAGCAGUGGGGAAUAUUGCGCAAUGGGCGAAAGCCGGACGCAGCGACGCCGCGGGAGGGAUGAAGGUCUUCGGAUCGUAAACCUCUGUCAGCAGGGAAGAACGGUCACUGUGCUAAGCAGCAGUGAAUUGACGGUACCGGCAAAGGAAGCACCGGCUAACUCCGUGCCAGCAGCCGCGGUAAUACGGAGGGUGCGAGCGUUAAGCGGAAUUACUGGGCGGAAAGCGCUCGUAGGCGGUAUGUCAAGUCAAGGGUGAAAUCCCCGCGCUCAACGUGGGAACUGCCUUUGAAACUGCCAAACUGGAGUGUGUGCGAUGCUAGUGGCAUUCCAGGUGU